RNAcentral lists this transfer RNA (75 nucleotides) under Candidatus Burarchaeum australiense. RNAcentral describes it as "tRNA-Ala(ggc)". Lineage: Archaea; Nanobdellati; Microcaldota; Candidatus Micrarchaeia; Candidatus Burarchaeales; Candidatus Burarchaeaceae. The record is from RNAcentral.
GAGGGCUCGUAGCGAAACGGCAUCGCGCCUGCAUGGCAUGCAGGAGACUGCGGGUUCGAACGCAGGGGGCGCUUG